GUCGUACGCUUCUUUUUCCACCGGAGCUUGCUCCACCGGAAAAAGAAGAGUGGCGAACGGGUGAGUAACACGUGGGUAACCUGCCCAUCAGAAGGGGAUAACACUUGGAAACAGGUGCUAAUACCGUAUAACAAUCGAAACCGCAUGGUUUUGAUUUGAAAGGCGCUUUCGGGUGUCGCUGAUGGAUGGACCCGCGGUGCAUUAGCUAGUUGGUGAGGUAACGGCUCACCAAGGCCACGAUGCAUAGCCGACCUGAGAGGGUGAUCGGCCACAUUGGGACUGAGACACGGCCCAAACUCCUACGGGAGGCAGCAGUAGGGAAUCUUCGGCAAUGGACGAAAGUCUGACCGAGCAACGCCGCGUGAGUGAAGAAGGUUUUCGGAUCGUAAAACUCUGUUGUUAGAGAAGAACAAGGAUGAGAGUAACUGUUCAUCCCUUGACGGUAUCUAACCAGAAAGCCACGGCUAACUACGUGCCAGCAGCCGCGGUAAUACGUAGGUGGCAAGCGUUGUCCGGAUUUAUUGGGCGUAAAGCGAGCGCAGGCGGUUUCUUAAGUCUGAUGUGAAAGCCCCCGGCUCAACCGGGGAGGGUCAUUGGAAACUGGGAGACUUGAGUGCAGAAGAGGAGAGUGGAAUUCCAUGUGUAGCGGUGAAAUGCGUAGAUAUAUGGAGGAACACCAGUGGCGAAGGCGGCUCUCUGGUCUGUAACUGACGCUGAGGCUCGAAAGCGUGGGGAGCAAACAGGAUUAGAUACCCUGGUAGUCCACGCCGUAAACGAUGAGUGCUAAGUGUUGGAGGGUUUCCGCCCUUCAGUGCUGCAGCUAACGCAUUAAGCACUCCGCCUGGGGAGUACGACCGCAAGGUUGAAACUCAAAGGAAUUGACGGGGGCCCGCACAA
RNAcentral lists this ribosomal RNA (897 nucleotides) under Enterococcus durans. Its description in RNAcentral is "bacterial SSU rRNA". It matches the Rfam family "Bacterial small subunit ribosomal RNA", at positions 61 to 928 of the family's 1533-position model. Lineage: Bacteria; Bacillati; Bacillota; Bacilli; Lactobacillales; Enterococcaceae. The record is from RNAcentral.